UUUCAGAUUCAGCAGUUUUUUUUCUCGCAGUGUCAGUCAAAGAGGCCGAGCAGUCGCUUCGCUUUAAAAGAACCAAACGUCGAACGCCUUUCGUACCUCUCGGUUCCCCCCCGCACCCGUUGCCGAGAUCCGGCCUCCUCCUGCCGGGAUCGAAUUCGAUCCGCUGGAGAAGCUUGUCGGUGCCGCCGGAUCCAGCCGGGAUGCUGACCUGCAUCGCGUGCUCGAAGCAGCUCGGUGGCGGGCCCCUCCACGACCUGGCCACCGACGACGACGACCACGAUCCCGCCGGCGGGACGCCCAGCACCCGUCAGGCCAUCAAAUCCCUCACCGCCCAGGUGGGGGGUCAGCUCAAGGAUAUGGCGGUGAAGGCGUCGGGGGCGUACAGACACUGCAAGCCCUGUGCGGGGUCGGGGCGGCCCCACGGGGGAGGCACCGGCGGCGGCGCGGUGUAUGCGGACUCAGACGGGGCGACGGGGUCGGAUCGGUUCCACCACGCGUACCGGCGGGCGGUGGAAAGCACGGGGUCGACUCCGAGGGCGUACGGGAGGGAAAUGGAGGCGCGGCUGAGGGCGCUGUCGAGCGGGGAGGGGACGCCGUCGAUAAGCGGGCGGACGGAGACGGGGUCGUCGUGGGUGUUCAUGGAGGAGGAAGACGAACCCAAGGAGUGGGUGGCCCAGGUCGAAGCCGGGGUUCUCAUCACCUUCCUCUCUCUCCCCCAAGGGGGGAAUGACCUCAAGAGGAUUAGAUUCAGCCGGGAGAUGUUUAACAGGUGGCAAGCUCAACGUUGGUGGGCCGAGAACUACGACAAGGUCAUGGAGCUCUACAACGUCCAGAGGUUCAAUCGCCAGGAUGCCCCCCUCCCCAUCCCUCCUGGCUCCGAAGAUGAGAGCUCGAAGGAGGACAGCCCAGUGACCCCGCCGUUAAACAAAGAACGGCUUCCCCAUAACUUUCACAGGCCAUUGAUGGGUGGUGGCGGUGGUGGAGCGAUGGGUUACACAUCAUCAGACUCACUUGAGCACCGUUCCAGCCACCACUGCCACCACCAUCAUGGGCGCUAUUAUCAUGAUUCAGGUGGUCUGACAUCAACACUGAAGCUGUCAAGCAUCAGUGGAGCAAAGAUGGAGACAUCAUCGAUGGAUGCAUCGGUGCAAACAAGCUCAUCUCCGGCGGACCAAUCGGGGGAGCCAUCAGUGGCAGUGAGCAAUGCCAGUGACCAGGAGAGGGAGUGGGUGGAGGAGGAUGCGCCCGGGGUUUAUAUUACCAUCCAGGGGCUUCCUGGUGGCAUUAGAGAGCUCCGCCGUGUACGGUUCAGGUACUCCGUCCUUUUCCUGUUCUAAACUGUAAACGAAUGGGCGGGCUAUGACUGAAGUAUUGAAGCAAGCACCAGAGACAAAUGAGGAGCGGAAGGAUUAGUAGGGCUCAUUUACUAUGCCGGGAGAGAUUUGGCGAGUUGCAUGCAAGGAUGUGGUGGGAGGAGAACCGAGCUCGGAUUCAUGAACAGUAUCUAUGACAAGGGAGAAAAGGGAGGUGCUAAAGAAGCAGCAGCUGCUGCAUUGAGAGGUCUUUGCGUCCAUUUGCCUUCAUCUGCUUUCGGUGAAGUCUCAAGCUUCUUUCUUCGUCACUUCAUGUAUGAGCUAUAUGCAAACACUGAGCACUGGCAUUGAGCAGCAGCCUUUUCCCUUCCUCAAAGGCCUGAUGGCUUCUGGUCGUGCAUUAACUUAUGCUCCUGGUGAAGCUGGAAUAGAAAGCACAAGCAUGCUUUCUUGGGCGAAAAAUGUGUUUUUGAUUGUUUACUGUAGCCUCGUUUCUUAUGCUUUGUCAUUUAUGCUUUUCCUACAUGUCGUGCACAUUGUGUGGAAGAAUAUUUGGGGAAAUUUGAAUGAGGGUGCUUGUUGUUGAUGUAGAAGGAAGGCUUUGUAUCAUGAAUGAGUGAAGAUGUUAUAUGAUCCCCUGCUGAAAGUGUCA
RNA transcript from Elaeis guineensis (African oil palm), 1965 nucleotides. It is a transcript of the gene named protein Brevis radix-like 1, with no coding region annotated. The record is from RefSeq and is a predicted model, not a curated record. NCBI's taxonomy places the organism in Eukaryota, Viridiplantae, Streptophyta, Magnoliopsida, Arecales, Arecaceae.